UGAACGCUGGCGGUAUGCUUAACACAUGCAAGUCGAACGGAAACGAUACUAGCUUGCUAGUAGGCGUCGAGUGGCGGACGGGUGAGUAACGCGUAGGAAUCUGCCUGAUAGUGGGGGAUAGCCCGAAGAAAUUCGGAUUAAUACCGCAUAAUCUAUUCGUAGUAAAGUGGGGGACUUUCGAGCCUCACGCUAUCAGAUGAGCCUGCGUAAGAUUAGCUAGUUGGUAGGGUAAAAGCCUACCAAGGCAACGAUCUUUAGCUGGUCUGAGAGGAUGAUCAGCCACAUCGGGACUGAGACACGGCCCGAACUCCUACGGGAGGCAGCAGUGGGGAAUAUUGGACAAUGGGGGCAACCCUGAUCCAGCAAUACCGCGUGUGUGAAGAAGGCCUGAGGGUUGUAAAGCACUUUCAAUUGUGAAGAAAAGUUAACGGUUAAUAACCGUUAGCCUUGACGUUAACUUUAGAAGAAGCACCGGCUAACUCCGUGCCAGCAGCCGCGGUAAUACGGAGGGUGCAAGCGUUAAUCGGAAUUACUGGGCGUAAAGCGUACGUAGGCGGUUUAUUAAGUCAGAUGUGAAAGCCCCGGGCUUAACCUGGGAACUGCAUUUGAAACUGGUCAACUAGAGUAUGGUAGAGGAAAGUGGAAUUUCUGGUGUAGCGGGUGAAAUGCGUAGAUAUCAGAAAGGAACAUCAAUGGCGAAGGCAGCUUUCUGGACCAAUACUGACGCUGAGGUACGAAAGCGUGGGUAGCAAACAGGAUUAGAUACCCUGGUAGUCCACGCCGUAAACGAUGAUAACUAGCCGUUGGGGGGAUUUACCCUUUAGUGGCGAAGCUAACGCGUUAAGUUAUCCGCCUGGGGAGUACGGCCGCAAGGUUAAAACUCAAAGGAAUUGACGGGGACCCGCACAAGCGGUGGAGCAUGUGGUUUAAUUCGAUGCAACGCGAAGAACCUUACCUGGUCUUGACAUCCUGCGAACUUUCUAGAAAUAGAUUGGUGCCUUCGGGAACGCAGUGACAGGUGCUGCAUGGCUGUCGUCAGCUCGUGUCGUGAGAUGUUGGGUUAAGUCCCGUAACGAGCGCAACCCCUAUCCUUAUUUGCCAGCACGUCAUGGUGGGAACUAUAAGGAGACUGCCGGUGAUAAACCGGAGGAAGGCGGGGACGACGUCAAGUCAUCAUGGCCCUUACGACCAGGGCUACACACGUGCUACAAUGGGAAGGACAAAGAGCCGCGAAGCCGCGAGGUGUAGCUAAUCUCAGAAACCUUUUCGUAGUCCGGAUUGGAGUCUGCAACUCGACUCCAUGAAGUCGGAAUCGCUAGUAAUCGUAGAUCAGAAUGCUACGGUGAAUACGUUCCCGGGUCUUGUACACACCGCCC
This 1376-nucleotide ribosomal RNA is filed under the name uncultured bacterium. Its description in RNAcentral is "16S ribosomal RNA". It matches the Rfam family "Bacterial small subunit ribosomal RNA", at positions 30 to 1395 of the family's 1533-position model. The record is from RNAcentral.